UACGUAGGGAGCAAGCGUUGUCCGGAUUUACUGGGUGUAAAGGGUGCGUAGGCGGCUUUGCAAGUCAGAUGUGAAAUCUAUGGGCUCAACCCAUAGCCUGCAUUUGAAACUGCAGAGCUUGAGUGAAGUAGAGGCAGGCGGAAUUCCCCGUGUAGCGGUGAAAUGCGUAGAGAUGGGGAGGAACACCAGUGGCGAAGGCGGCCUGCUGGGCUUUAACUGACGCUGAUGCACGAAAGCGUGGGUAGCAAAC
RNAcentral lists this ribosomal RNA (250 nucleotides) under uncultured bacterium. RNAcentral's name for it is "partial 16S ribosomal RNA". It matches the Rfam family "Bacterial small subunit ribosomal RNA", at positions 524 to 773 of the family's 1533-position model. The record is from RNAcentral.